Tupaia belangeri (northern tree shrew) is the source of this 135-nucleotide small nucleolar RNA. NCBI's taxonomy places the organism in Eukaryota, Metazoa, Chordata, Mammalia, Scandentia, Tupaiidae. The record is from Ensembl.
AGCACCCUUAACUGCCACGCCACCUGCCGACCCCUUAUGGACAAAGACUUAUAAACAGGUGCAAAAGUUAAUCCUCUUUUGCAACCCAGAACUCAUAGUCUAGUAUGGGUUUCGAUACAUGUAAGCAGGCAUGUU